CCGUAAUACAGAGGGUGCGAGCGUUAAUCGGAAUUACUGGGCGUAAAGCGCGCGUAGGCGGUUAUGUAAGUUGGAUGUGAAAUCCCCGGGCUUAACCUGGGCACUGCAUUCAAAACUGCAUAGCUAGAGUAUGGGAGAGGAUGGUAGAAUUCCAGGUGUAGCGGUGAAAUGCGUAGAGAUCUGGAGGAAUACCGAUGGCGAAGGCAGCCAUCUGGCCUAAUACUGACGCUGAGGUGCGAAAGCAUGGGGAGCAAACAGGAUUAGAUACCCUGGUAGUCCAUGCCGUAAACGAUGUCAACUAGCCGUUGGGGACCUUGAGUCUUUAGUGGCGCAGCUAACGCGAUAAGUUGACCGCCUGGGGAGUACGGUCGCAAGACUAAAACUCAAAGGAAUUGACGG
This 399-nucleotide ribosomal RNA is filed under the name uncultured bacterium. RNAcentral's name for it is "bacterial SSU rRNA". It matches the Rfam family "Bacterial small subunit ribosomal RNA", at positions 518 to 916 of the family's 1533-position model. The record is from RNAcentral.